RNAcentral lists this long non-coding RNA (340 nucleotides) under Chloebia gouldiae (Gouldian finch). RNAcentral describes it as "Erythrura gouldiae (Gouldian finch) lncRNA (ENSEGOG00005006889.1)". The record is from RNAcentral. Lineage: Eukaryota; Metazoa; Chordata; Aves; Passeriformes; Passeridae.
AAAAGAGCAAACAUUAAUAACAGCAGCUUAGUUUUUGGUCCCAACAGACUUAACUAGCAGAAGGGGAAAAGAAGAUCUGGGGCUGGCUAGCAGAGAAACAUUGCUGAGUGUAAACACUACAAGGCAUCUCUGAGUGCUUUUAUCAUACGGAGCCUGAAAGUAUUUGUAAUUUGUGACUCUUCAGUCAGGAGCAGUCUUGCAAGCAAGGAGUGUUUAUUGUGGAUUUUCAGUACAGAGAAAACUACAGUUUGAUUUCAUGUUCAGCCUUCAGCAGAAACACUACUACCUCAGCCCUGAGGGAAAACCACUUCUGGCACUUGGAGGAAAUUUUUAACAGAAG